UACGUAGGGUGCAAGCGUUGUCCGGAAUUAUUGGGUGUAAAGAGCUCGUAGGCGGUUCGUCGCGUCGGCUGUGAAAUCCCGGAGCUCAACUCCGGGUCUGCAGUCGAUACGGGCGGACUCGAGUUCGGCAGGGGAGACUGGAAUUCCUGGUGUAGCGGUGAAAUGCGCAGAUAUCAGGAGGAACACCGGUGGCGAAGGCGGGUCUCUGGGCCGAUACUGACGCUGAGGAGCGAAAGCGUGGGGAGCGAACAGG
Molecule: ribosomal RNA, 253 nt
Filed under: uncultured bacterium
Lineage: Bacteria
Description: partial 16S ribosomal RNA
Rfam family: Bacterial small subunit ribosomal RNA
Source: RNAcentral